AUGCAGAGAACACGUGAUGAUCUGGAGAAGAAGCUACAUGAUUCAAAUACAACACCAAUGUUUUUUCCACUUGAAUUUUUGAAGGCCAUCACAUGUGAUUUUUCCACUGAGUCGGUACUAGGUGAAGGUGGGUUUGGAGUGGUUUACAAGGGAGUUCUUCGAAGUGGCAAAGUUAUUGCUGUGAAGAAGCUUUUUGAAAUCCGUCUAAAAGAGGACACAUUCCAGAAUGAAGUACGCUAUCUUAUGGGGAUUAAGCACCAGAAUAUAGUACAGUUCCUAGGUUAUUGUGCGGAAUCAAGUUGGGAAGCGAUAGAGCAACCUAGUGGUAGUGGAAAAUUUAUUUUUGGUGAAUUACCGAAAAGGUUGCUCUGCUUCGAGUACGUAUGCAACAAAAGCCUCGACAACCAUAUUUCUGAUGAAUCUUCAGGCCUUGAGUGGAAUAUGAGAUACGAGAUAAUUAAGGGGAUUUGCAAUGGGUUGCAUUUCCUUCAUGAAGAAUGUCAUAUGGUUCAUCUCGACCUUAAGCCUGAAAAUAUAUUGAUGGACUCUACUAUGAUCCCAAAAAUCGCUGAUUUUGGUUUAUCGAGGAUCUUUGGUGAGCAGCAAACACGAAUUGUCACUGAUAAUCGUGCGGGAACAUGUGGAUAUAUGGCACCAGAAUACUUAAUCCGAGGUGUAGUCUCAAACAAGGCAGAUAUAUUUAGUCUGGGUGUCAUACUCAUAGAGAUAAUAACAGGUGACAGGGACUAUCCAUAUUUCCACCAUGACAGUUCCCAGCGUGAUGCCACAACUUUCCAGCAGUUUACAGAGAAAGUUCUUGAAAAUUGGAGGAAUAGAUUCACAUCCACACCGAAGUAUACAAAGGAAAAAUAUGCGCACCAAGUAAAGCAGUGUGUCACCAUAGCCCUAAACUGUGUGGAUCCUAGUAUGGAGAAAAGACCUACUGCAAAGCAUAUAAUCCAGGUGUUUAAUGUAGCAGACAAGAUGGAAACUCACGAAGAGUUGCCGUCAGUCGUGCAGUGCGUAGACAAGUUACUCGCACUAAACACUACUGGAAGCAAGGAACUCACGCCCAUGAGUGCCACUGAAGAAAUGUUGAUCAUCAAAGCAGCUACUGGUAAACAAGUGGAUGAGGCCAAGUCUGAGGGUUUGUUACCGAUGCCUACAAUAGAGCCGAGCACAAUCAGACAGAGUUAUCAAGAGGGAGUAAAGGCAUGUAAUGAGCGACAAUCAGCCACUGAGACUGAGUCUGAGGUUUGGAGUCUUGAUUCUCCCAAAUCCAAGUAUACUCUGUCUGGACAUUCGGAUUGGGUGCACAAGGUGGAUUUAUUCAAGCGUGAUGGUCAGCAGUAUUUGAUUAAUGGCUCUUGGGACAAGACUGCCAAGAUAUGGGACUUGCAGAAGGAGUGUGUUCAUACACUGGAACAUGAGUGUGAGUCUAGAGACUAUUCCAUCUUUGCCCAUCCCAGUCUUCCGGUUCUAAUUACAGGUACAAGCAAUGGUGUUGUUCGUGUGUGGAGCUCCACUGAUUUCAGGCUGAAGAAAAAGCUUGAGGUCAGUGGGCCGGUUUAUGGUCUCGCAUGUUUGAUGGGGUCAGAAAGGGUUGCAGUUGCACAAUUUUAUGCAGUAUCGUGA
RNAcentral lists this ribosomal RNA (1635 nucleotides) under Triticum aestivum (bread wheat). Its description in RNAcentral is "partial small subunit ribosomal RNA". The record is from RNAcentral. Lineage: Eukaryota; Viridiplantae; Streptophyta; Magnoliopsida; Poales; Poaceae.